UACGGGAGGCAGCAGUGGGGAAUAUUGCCAAUGGGCGAAACCCUGAUGCAGCGACGCCGCGUGAGUGAAGAAGUAUUUCGGUAUGUAAACUCUAUCAGCAGGGAAGAUAAUGACGUACGGGACUAAGAAGCACCGGCUAAAUACGUGCCAGCAGCCGCGGUAAU
Molecule: ribosomal RNA, 164 nt
Filed under: uncultured rumen bacterium
Lineage: Bacteria
Description: partial 16S ribosomal RNA
Rfam family: Bacterial small subunit ribosomal RNA
Source: RNAcentral